CGGGACGUAGCGCAGUUUGGCAGCGCGCAGCGUUCGGGACGCUGAGGUCGCGGGUUCGAGUCCCGCCGUCCCGA
Molecule: transfer RNA, 74 nt
Filed under: Acidimicrobiia bacterium
Lineage: Bacteria; Bacillati; Actinomycetota; Acidimicrobiia
Also listed under: 2 other names
Description: tRNA-Pro
Rfam family: tRNA
About the family: Transfer RNA (tRNA) molecules are approximately 80 nucleotides in length. Their secondary structure includes four short double-helical elements and three loops (D, anti-codon, and T loops).
Source: RNAcentral